Molecule: ribosomal RNA, 451 nt
Filed under: Escherichia coli
Lineage: Bacteria; Pseudomonadati; Pseudomonadota; Gammaproteobacteria; Enterobacterales; Enterobacteriaceae
Description: partial 23S ribosomal RNA
Rfam family: Bacterial large subunit ribosomal RNA
Source: RNAcentral
UGUUUGAUGUUCUAACGUUGACCCGUAAUCCGGGUUGCGGACAGUGUCUGGUGGGUAGUUUGACUGGGGCGGUCUCCUCCUAAAGAGUAACGGAGGAGCACGAAGGUUGGCUAAUCCUGGUCGGACAUCAGGAGGUUAGUGCAAUGGCAUAAGCCAGCUUGACUGCGAGCGUGACGGCGCGAGCAGGUGCGAAAGCAGGUCAUAGUGAUCCGGUGGUUCUGAAUGGAAGGGCCAUCGCUCAACGGAUAAAAGGUACUCCGGGGAUAACAGGCUGAUACCGCCCAAGAGUUCAUAUCGACGGCGGUGUUUGGCACCUCGAUGUCGGCUCAUCACAUCCUGGGGCUGAAGUAGGUCCCAAGGGUAUGGCUGUUCGCCAUUUAAAGUGGUACGCGAGCUGGGUUUAGAACGUCGUGAGACAGUUCGGUCCCUAUCUGCCGUGGGCGCUGGAGAA